UCGAAGUUGUCGUUGUCGCCAAAGACAAAAGAACGCUCACUCGCGCAGGCCACCAGACAAGAGGUGAACUUGAAGGCUGGGCAACGGUUGGCUUCAACGUAGAUUUUGACAAAGACAUCCCAUUCGGCUUACCAACAACACUGCCAGCAACUACAACGUUAAGGCAUCAGGGGGUGGAGUCGGGCGGUGAAGUACGCGCAACGGUCGAACGGCGAACCAAAGGAUCAGCCACCCAUUAACUCGUCGUUCGGCUCGCACCGCAAGACAGGCUUGCUUAUUUUACUGGCGCAACAAACGUCUGCCAGCAAAGCACCCUGAAAUCCAUUCUGCUCCCAGUCUUCGUACUUCGUCUUCGGCUUUUCGCUUGCUUCGAUCUUCGUUCGCGUCUUUACCGUGUCCCACUUCUGCCACUGAUUUCUAUAUCUGAUUCUGCUGCCGCUACUGGUGGUCCGCACUGGGCGAAUGUCGCCGAGCUUCGCCGAGAAGCCGCGGGUGUACAGCGCUAUGAGGACAAUUAGAUGAUGCCUUUCCUGAAAAUAAACGAAAAGAAGCGGAUCGCAUCUGGAAAUCGAACGAGUGCAAUAACGAGCAGAAUACCAUGGCUUCCGCGAUCGGGCAUUAACUAAGUAGCAAAACAAAUAAAAAAAAAAAAAAGG
Molecule: long non-coding RNA, 656 nt
Filed under: Varroa destructor (honeybee mite)
Lineage: Eukaryota; Metazoa; Arthropoda; Arachnida; Mesostigmata; Varroidae
Description: uncharacterized LOC111254291, transcript variant X2
Source: RNAcentral